This is a long non-coding RNA of Passer domesticus (house sparrow), 287 nucleotides long. RefSeq lists it as uncharacterized. The record is from RefSeq and is a predicted model, not a curated record. The transcript has 3 exons. Lineage: Eukaryota; Metazoa; Chordata; Aves; Passeriformes; Passeridae.
UUCACAAGGCCACAAAGUGUCACAUUGGUCUCCAUAGGAAGGAAACCACAGAACCCCCAUGUUUCAGGAGCUGAAGAACAGCAGCCGCCAGAGGCCAAGACAUUUGUGCCUGGAGAAGGAGGAUUUUUUCCACAAAAAGAGAAGCAUAGAGCCCUUUCCAGUGUUUGGAAAACAGGAGUGCCUGUGCUGGGGAAAUGUGGCAGAAAUGCUGCUCUUGGAGGGGUUGGAGUGCCUUGGAUAGCUGACUCAGUCAGGCCUGUAAGUAAGGUUAAGUCACAAGGUCUAAG